This is a long non-coding RNA of Gallus gallus (chicken), 1499 nucleotides long. The record is from Ensembl. Lineage: Eukaryota; Metazoa; Chordata; Aves; Galliformes; Phasianidae.
CUUGAAUCCCCCUUGGAUUGACUCAUCUCACUGCUCAUUAGGUCCACCUGCUUGGGGCAUAACUGUGGUGUAACUCCACUCUCUCUUAAAUGGCUGAGGAUCCCAGCUGGGCCAGCACAUGCUGCCUGCUGACACUAUGGAAGUCUGUGGUGACAGUCCCUGAAAUUCCUGUAUCAGUCAAGAGUGAUGAUGAGGUAGUUAGAUGGUAACUGUACUUGAGACUUGUAAUGAACAAACUGCAAGAAAAAUCAGUGAUUCAAAGCAGAAGACAAGACUCUCUACAGCUGAGGUUCCUCUUUCUACUCUCGAGCCCCAAGGCAGUAUCAUAAGAGACAGUAACAUGGUGGCUUCUGAGUGAGAUUUGUGUAUCUGAAUUGCAAAGUGAAGAUCCUAAAGAAGCAGUGGAGUGGAAGGACCGUUGUUGGGAUGGGAUGAUGAGAGAGCUGUCUACAGGACUGACUCACUAAUGCGCGCAUGGACUUUACCAGAAGUUUCACCUCUCAAAUACUGUAAUAGUAGGUUGUAUUUGGGGGGCAGCUCGUGCAAGAACAAGGUUUAUGGGUGCUGGACUAAUGAAGAAAGGGAGAAAAUGGGAAAUCCAAACUCCUAGCCUGGAAGACAGUCUGAACAACCAGUACAAUAGGAAGGCACAAUCCAGAAAGACACGGUGGCAGCACAGUCCGUCCAAUUUUCAAUGGAUGUAAAUAAUCCCUGUUACAGGAAGUGUGGAGUCUUCCAGAUGUUUCAUCUCUAGUUUUCUCCAGAGGAAUGACGUGCCCCUGGCAGAAGCGAAGGUGAAGGUAAGCAUUUCCAUUUGUAAUAAGCCACCAAUCUUGGAGGCUGCAGUCAGGAUUCAGAGAGAGAACCCACGGAGUGCCUAGGACAUAUUUGGCCUUGACAAAGUUUUACUUUCCAGCUUCUCCAUUUGUAGUGGAUUGACAGCUGGUUUCAAAUGUCUCAUAUUUAACUUUUCUGUUUUUCUUAAUCUGUGGAUUCUUUUCUGGAACUUCCUGUGCAUAGCAAAAACCUGUCGUGGUCCAGUGAGACCCUCUGCCUCUCACAGUGCAGAAUCAGACCCAGUAAUCAUGGCUGCUAUGCUUUAUUCCCUACCCAAAACAGGCAUCUUUUGAGAGGAAGGGUGACAGGAUGAUGAUUUCUUUUUGUAAGCAGAUGCGAGGAACAUGAAAAAAAAUUUUUAAUAGCCAAUCCAAAAAUGACUAGAGGCACUAUUUUGCAAUACAGAGUGUACGACCUAGUAAAUCCAAACCUCUCUAAUGUAACAUAGCUAUUCUUCCCUACCUCUCUUUUUGUCUGAAAAAAAAAAGGUCAAUUUUGUAUUUAAGAAACACUAUCAAAGAUUUAAAGAUUGUACCAUUGGCCAUAGUUCAAACAAUACAGGCAGGAAAGAAUGUACAGCUGUCAAGUGUAAACAGAAAUGGGUACAGCUCAGAAGUGCUUCAGACAAAUCACUGUAUGUCAUCGGCUGGUUUUAAUUAACA